This is a ribosomal RNA of Xenia sp. Carnegie-2017, 155 nucleotides long. RefSeq annotates it as 5.8S ribosomal RNA. The record is from RefSeq and is a predicted model, not a curated record. The transcript has a single exon. Lineage: Eukaryota; Metazoa; Cnidaria; Anthozoa; Malacalcyonacea; Xeniidae.
AACUUUUAACGGUGGAUCUCUUGGCUGGUGCAUUGACGAAGAACGCAGCCAGCUGCGAUACGUAAGGUUAAUUGCAGAAUAUAUUGUGAAUCAUUGAAUCUUUGAACGCAAAUUGCGCUUUUGGUUAUACCGGGAGCAUGCCUGUCUGAGUGUUG